This 218-nucleotide long non-coding RNA is filed under the name Capsella rubella. RNAcentral's name for it is "long non-coding RNA (CRUB_LNC004299)". Lineage: Eukaryota; Viridiplantae; Streptophyta; Magnoliopsida; Brassicales; Brassicaceae. The record is from RNAcentral.
UGAAGAUGGUUUAUUUAGCUUGAUUUUCUUAUGGUGCGAUGGUCAGAAAUCAAUAUUUUUGAAUCCCAUCGAUAAAGUAAUUUCUUUAUAGCCAUAAAAUAUUAUUAUACAUAUGUAUUAUAUAUUUAAUAGUAUAGAAAACAAUGAAAAAUGAAAAAGUACAUAAAAUAAAGAAGAAAUAUAAUUGAAAACAAAAGUUUUAACCAAAUAUAUAAUCA